GCGAACCCCACCAAAAGGAAGAAACUCCGAACACAUCUGAAGCACUGUAUAGGAUGUCUGAUUACCGUGAGAGCAUGAGCUGUGCUGAAUCUCCAGCUAGCCACAAUGAAAAGCCUUUUGGAGAGAGAAUGUCCAGUCAACCUCCCAGCUGUUCCAGCCUUUCCAACAGAGGUAUCAAACAGGUGAUAUGAGUCUGACAUAUGCACUGAAACAUCAACAGGUCUUGCUAUGUCAACUAUGCAGGAGUGCAGUGGCA
RNAcentral lists this long non-coding RNA (256 nucleotides) under Homo sapiens (human). Its description in RNAcentral is "HSALNT0358258". Lineage: Eukaryota; Metazoa; Chordata; Mammalia; Primates; Hominidae. The record is from RNAcentral.